UACGUAGGGACCAAGCGUUGUUCGGAUUUACUGGGCGUAAAGGGCGCGUAGGCGGUGUGUCAAGUCAGUUGUGAAAUCUCCGAGCUUAACUCGGAACGGUCAACUGAUACUGUCAUACUAGAGUACAGAAGGGGCAAUCGGAAUUCUUGGUGUAGCGGUGAAAUGCGUAGAUAUCAAGAGGAACACCUGAGGUGAAGACGGGUUGCUGGGCUGAUACUGACGCUGAGGCGCGAAAGCUAGGGUAG
RNAcentral lists this ribosomal RNA (245 nucleotides) under uncultured Blastocatella sp. Its description in RNAcentral is "partial 16S ribosomal RNA". It matches the Rfam family "Bacterial small subunit ribosomal RNA", at positions 524 to 768 of the family's 1533-position model. Lineage: Bacteria; Pseudomonadati; Acidobacteriota; Blastocatellia; Blastocatellales; Blastocatellaceae. The record is from RNAcentral.